This 118-nucleotide microRNA precursor is filed under the name Camelina sativa (false flax). Its description in RNAcentral is "miR395c stem-loop (cas-MIR395c)". Its record names the gene cas-MIR395c. It matches the Rfam family "mir-395 microRNA precursor family". Rfam says of the family: mir-395 was identified in both Arabidopsis thaliana and Oryza sativa computationally and was later experimentally verified. mir-395 is thought to target mRNAs coding for ATP sulphurylases. The mature sequence is excised from the 3' arm of the hairpin. The record is from miRBase by way of RNAcentral. Lineage: Eukaryota; Viridiplantae; Streptophyta; Magnoliopsida; Brassicales; Brassicaceae.
CCCAUGAGUUCCCUUUAACGCUUCAUUGUUGUUAAUACACCAAAAACACAUUUGUUUUAUUAAAAUGUUUGUUCGGUUUGUAUAUAACAACACUGAAGUGUUUGGGGGGACUCUUGGU